This 253-nucleotide ribosomal RNA is filed under the name uncultured bacterium. RNAcentral's name for it is "partial 16S ribosomal RNA". It matches the Rfam family "Bacterial small subunit ribosomal RNA", at positions 524 to 776 of the family's 1533-position model. The record is from RNAcentral.
GACGAACCGUGCGAACGUUGUUCGGAUUCACUGGGCUUAAAGGGCGCGUAGGCGGGUCGGUCAGUCCGGGGUGAAAUCCCCUCGCUCAACGAGGGAACUGCCCCGGAGACGGCCGGUCUCGAGGGAGGUAGGGGCAUGUGGAACUUCCGGUGGAGCGGUGAAAUGCGUAGAUAUCGGAAGGAACGCCGGUGGCGAAAGCGACGUGCUGGACCUCUUCUGACGCUGAGGCGCGAAAGCCAGGGGAGCAAACGGG